AAUACGGGGGGGGCAAGCGUUGUUCGGAAUUACUGGGCGUAAAGGGCUCGUAGGCGGCCAACUAAGUCCGACGUGAAAUCCCCAGGCUCAACCUGGGAACUGCGUCGGAUACUGGAUGGCUUGAAUUCGGGAGAGGGAUGCAGAAUUCCAGGUGUAGCGGUGAAAUGCGUAGAUAUCUGGAGGAAUACCGGUGGCGAAGGCGGCAUCCUGGACCGACAUUGACGCUGAGGAGCGAAAGCUAGGGGAGCAAACGGGA
This 256-nucleotide ribosomal RNA is filed under the name uncultured prokaryote. Its description in RNAcentral is "partial 16S ribosomal RNA". It matches the Rfam family "Bacterial small subunit ribosomal RNA", at positions 522 to 777 of the family's 1533-position model. The record is from RNAcentral.